AAAUUGAAGAGUUUGAUCAUGGCUCAGAUUGAACGCUGGCGGCAGGCCUAACACAUGCAAGUCGAACGGUAACAGGAAACAGCUUGCUGUUUCGCUGACGAGUGGCGGACGGGUGAGUAAUGUCUGGGAAACUGCCCGAUGGAGGGGGAUAACUACUGGAAACGGUAGCUAAUACCGCAUAACGUCGCAAGACCAAAGAGGGGGACCUUCGGGCCUCUUGCUAUCGGAUGUGCCCAGAUGGGAUUAGCUAGUAGGUGGGGUAACGGCUCACCUAGGCGACGAUCCCUAGCUGGUCUGAGAGGAUGACCAGCC
This 312-nucleotide ribosomal RNA is filed under the name Shigella flexneri. RNAcentral describes it as "bacterial SSU rRNA". It matches the Rfam family "Bacterial small subunit ribosomal RNA", at positions 1 to 309 of the family's 1533-position model. Lineage: Bacteria; Pseudomonadati; Pseudomonadota; Gammaproteobacteria; Enterobacterales; Enterobacteriaceae. The record is from RNAcentral.